UACAGAGGUCUCAAGCGUUGUUCGGAUUCAUUGGGCGUAAAGGGUGUGUAGGUGGCGCGCUAAGUCGGAUGUGAAAUUUCGGAGCUUAACUCCGAAACUGCAUUCGAUACUGGCGUGCUUGAGGACUGGAGAGGAGACUGGAAUUUACGGUGUAGCAGUGAAAUGCGUAGAUAUCGUAAGGAAGACCAGUGGCGAAGGCGGGUCUCUGGACAGUUCCUGACACUGAGACACGAAGGCCAGGGGAGCAAACGGG
Molecule: ribosomal RNA, 253 nt
Filed under: uncultured bacterium
Lineage: Bacteria
Description: partial 16S ribosomal RNA
Rfam family: Bacterial small subunit ribosomal RNA
Source: RNAcentral